Molecule: ribosomal RNA, 253 nt
Filed under: uncultured bacterium
Lineage: Bacteria
Description: partial 16S ribosomal RNA
Rfam family: Bacterial small subunit ribosomal RNA
Source: RNAcentral
UACGGAGGUGGCAAGCGUUGUCCGGAAUUAUUGGGCGUAAAGCGCGCGCAGGCGGUCCUUUAAGUCUGAUGUGAAAGCCCACGGCUCAACCGUGGAGGGUCAUUGGAAACUGGGGGACUUGAGUACAGAAGAGAAGAGUGGAAUUCCACGUGUAGCGGUGAAAUGCGUAGAGAUGUGGAGGAACACCAGUGGCGAAGGCGACUCUUUGGUCUGUAACUGACGCUGAGGCGCGAAAGCGUGGGGAGCAAACAGG